RNAcentral lists this long non-coding RNA (543 nucleotides) under Apteryx owenii (little spotted kiwi). RNAcentral describes it as "lncRNA (ENSAOWG00000013520.1)". Lineage: Eukaryota; Metazoa; Chordata; Aves; Apterygiformes; Apterygidae. The record is from RNAcentral.
AUGCAGAAAGGGUGCUGGCUUGCUUUUAUCACAUCAAAGCCUGAUAACAGCAAUUCUGUGCUUACCAACCUCCCUCAUGAGCGUAUACAGCAUCCACAGAUGCCUUUGAAGACUUCUGCUGAGGAUCAUGGACCAUGUCCUAGUUCUCUAAUCCUGCAAGGAGAUAACAGUCCCACAAUGGAGGAAAUGGGCAAAAGUGAUGGAAUCAGUGAGCUGAAACAUCUGCACAUCACCAGCAGCUGCCACUGCCCUCAAGGAAAUCUUCCAGAGAAGGAUCUCUCCCCUCAUUGAACUGAUGUGAUUCUCACCUAGCAAAAGAGCAUGUACAGAAUGAUUUGAGAGGAAAACUGAAGACCCAGUCCACUUGUUCCUAUCUUUGGUCUCCUUUUCUCAAAGUCGUGUUCCUGAAGUUAAUGAACACUUCACAUUAUUGCCUAACCAUAACUUCUCCUUUCCCUCUUGAGACCCAAUCCCCUGUGAAAAGUCUCUCAGUCCUAACCAAAACCAGAUAAACAGAAAUGCUAUUUCAGUUCAUUGAGUGUG